This 391-nucleotide RNase P RNA is filed under the name Actinomyces bowdenii. RNAcentral's name for it is "RNase P RNA component class A". It matches the Rfam family "Bacterial RNase P class A". Rfam says of the family: Ribonuclease P (RNase P) is a ubiquitous endoribonuclease, found in archaea, bacteria and eukarya as well as chloroplasts and mitochondria. The record is from RNAcentral. Lineage: Bacteria; Bacillati; Actinomycetota; Actinomycetes; Actinomycetales; Actinomycetaceae.
CGAGCCGACCGGGCGGCCGCGGUACCCGUGGCGCCUUCGGGCGCUCCCGGGGCUGAGGAACGUCCGGGCUCCACAGAGCAGGACGGUGGCUAACGGCCACCCGGGGUGACCCGCGGGACAGUGCCACAGAGAGCAGACCGCCGGCCCGAUGGGGCCGGUAAGGGUGAAAGGGUGGGGUAAGAGCCCACCAGCGCGGCGGGUGACCGUCGCGGCUGGGUAAACCCCGUCCGGAGCAAGACCGCACAGCCGGCGAUUGAGGGCUGCUCGCCCGAGCCGGCGGGUUGGUCGCGCGAGGCCAUCGGCAACGGUGGUCCAAGAUGAAUGGUCGCCACCGCCCAGGGCCGGCAACGGCGGGCGGCAACAGAACCCGGCGUACAGGUCGGCUCGUCCG